RNAcentral lists this long non-coding RNA (1947 nucleotides) under Callithrix jacchus (white-tufted-ear marmoset). Its description in RNAcentral is "lncRNA (ENSCJAG00000077989.1)". Lineage: Eukaryota; Metazoa; Chordata; Mammalia; Primates; Cebidae. The record is from RNAcentral.
CAGAGGCUGGGAAGGGACAGAGGAGGAAGAGGAGUUGGUCAGUGGGAACAAAAAUAGUUAGAUAGAAGGAAUAAGUUCUAGUAUCCGAUGGUAUAGCAGGGAAGUGAUAGUUAACAAUAAUUUAUUGUCUUUAUCAAAAUAGCUAGAAAAACGGUGAUGCCAACUCAAAAAUGUUUGAGGUGAUAGAUUUCCCAAUCACCCGAGUUGAUUAUUACACAUUAUAUACAGGUAUCAAGAUAUUAUAUGUUCCCCCAUAUAUAUAUACAACUGUUAUGUUUCAAUUUUGUAAAAGAAAAGAAAAAGGACCUUAGUGAAAUGGGAAAAGUUCCCUUGUCCUUCUCGCGGGGUGUGUGACACGAGGAGUGGCUGGCUUCUCCAGCGCCCCACUGCUCAAACCUCUAGGGAGCAUACAGACUGGCAGACUGUGGGGCUACAACCCCACAGCAGUGUGAGCGGUGGAUGUUCACAGCUCCUGAAGCCCCAGUGGGCAUGCGCUACCAUACACUGUUUUAGUUUUGUGGUCUACAGGCCACUCGUGUUAACCUCAGUUAGACCCUCUGCCUUGUUGCAAGAACAGAGGGCUUUUCUACAUCCCGGAUGGUGCUUGCCUUGGUGUAAAGGAAGAAUUGGAUCACACCUGGGCUUGGAGAAUGAGUGCAAGAUUUUACUGAGUGGAGGCGGCUCUCAGCAGAUGGGGGAAACCAGAAGGGGACAGAGUAGGAAAGUUUCCUUUGGAGUCAGACUGCUCAGCAGCCUGAGCUCUCCUCCAAUUGCCCCAGCCAAGCCCCGCAUCAUUCUGCUUCUGCGGUGAGAAAGUGCCUGCUGCUCCCCUGCUCUCCAACACUCAGAAAAUGCUCUACAAAUCCAUGAACACAGAAGAUUGCCUAUCCUGCUGGAGCUAAAAAUGUUCAACAGCCACAUGCUUGAUCUUUGAGACUUCCAAGCCCAGGGGCCCUUGGAGAUCUUUCCACGGGAGCUCCUGCCCCAGUUUCAGGAUAGUGGGAGUCAGGGGAGACUGGAACACAGAUGAGAAUUGCAGCUGGGCAGGAAGGCCCUGAGGGCACUCAGCAGUCACCCUGGAGUUGUAAAUGGCAGGGCCCUAGCCAGCUACAGACCCGCCAGCCAGUUGCACAGCUUACAUCAAAGGCUCGAGAUGCCCGGCUGUGGGUUUAAAUGGAGCCCAGGUGUAGCUGGCAAACUCCCUCUCUUCUCCCCCACUGAGAUACACCUCCACUUUACACUCUGAGCUUGGCAGCCUCAGCAUGACCAGGGCUGUGGGGUCAGAGUUGCACUCAGACUUGCCAGCUAGGAGUGCUCACUUAGGCUUGGUGACUGGGACCCACCCUAUGAAUAGAGCAGAGAUGCUGUGUUGGACCAACUGCUGUUCCAGAAUCAAGUGAUUCAGGUCAUGUGUGUAAGCCAAUAAAUAAAAAGUUCAAUGUCGCCUAUGGAGAAAAAAAUUAUGUACCUCCUUAUUUCAAAUUUCAUGAAAAGAGGUAAGUACAAAGAAUACAAAAUCAAUUAAAACUCCACCAUGCAGAAACAACCAUCACAAACAUUUGUUCACUAUCAUUCCAUGUAUCUCUCGGUGCAAAUAUACAGACGGAAAAAAAGCUGGAAGGAAGGAAGAACUGACGACUGGAUGGAUGAGUGGAUGGAUGGGCGGAUGGACAGACAGAUGGGUAGGCGGGUGAGUCCAUAGAUGGGCACCCAAGUUACAGAUGUGAUUCUAGAAAUAAUCCUGCUGUACAUGUUAUUUUGAACUGAAAAUGUGUUCUUUUCUUUAGAAACUAUUACCUGUUGCUUUCUUCCUCUAAGUACAGGAGCAAGAUAUUCUUAAUGCAGAAAUCUGGAGAUCACAGAACACAAAGAAAAACAUGCACUCAUAUUCUAACACCAGAAGAUGACUGUUAACAUAUCUGCAUAUGUGUGUAUACAGGACUGAAU